GACAGAGGUGGCAAGCGUUGUUCGGAAUUACUGGGCUUAAAGGGCGCGUAGGCGGUGAGAUAAGUCUGAGGUGAAAUCCUAUGGCUUAACCAUAGAACUGCCUUGGAAACUGUUUUACUUGAGUCAGCGAGGGGAUGGUGGAAUUCCCGGUGUAGCAGUGAAAUGCGUAGAUAUCGGGAGGAAGGCCGGUGGCGAAGGCGGCCAUCUGGCGCUGAACUGACGCUGAGGCGCGAAAGCGUGGGUAG
RNAcentral lists this ribosomal RNA (245 nucleotides) under uncultured bacterium. RNAcentral's name for it is "partial 16S ribosomal RNA". It matches the Rfam family "Bacterial small subunit ribosomal RNA", at positions 524 to 768 of the family's 1533-position model. The record is from RNAcentral.